Molecule: ribosomal RNA, 253 nt
Filed under: uncultured bacterium
Lineage: Bacteria
Description: partial 16S ribosomal RNA
Rfam family: Bacterial small subunit ribosomal RNA
Source: RNAcentral
UACGAAGGGGGCAAGCGUUGUUCGGAAUUACUGGGCGUAAAGCGUGCGCAGGCGGUUUUGUAAGCCAGAUGUGAAAUCCCCGGGCUCAACCUGGGAACUGCAUUUGGGACUGCAAGGCUGGAGUACGGCAGAGGGAGGUGGAAUUCCAGGUGUAGCAGUGAAAUGCGUAGAGAUCUGGAGGAACACCGAUGGCGAAGGCAGCCUCCUGGGCUAGUACUGACGCUCAUGCACGAAAGCGUGGGGAGCAAACAGG